This 313-nucleotide unclassified non-coding RNA is filed under the name Hevea brasiliensis (rubber tree). Lineage: Eukaryota; Viridiplantae; Streptophyta; Magnoliopsida; Malpighiales; Euphorbiaceae. The record is from RNAcentral.
GGAGGCGGCGAUGUUUUGCCACAGGGAAAGGAGCAAUCUACGGAAAAUAAGAGCACUACAGUGGACCUAUUGAACAGAGAGGUGAAAAAGUGGAAAAAGUUGAAGACGAAAGCCCAGCGAAUGAUCAGACGAUGAUAGAGAGAGGUCAAGCUCGCCGCUCUUGGUUCGUUACCUCAGUGCUUUUAUCAUUUGGAAUUCUGUGAUUAAGGUAUCGGUGAUUUUAUUAUUUGUAAUUCUGAGAUUGAGGUGUCUGGAGCUUUUACCAUAAAUUUUAAAUAAGACUAUGAAAUUGUGAUUUGGAGACAAAAAAAAA